Molecule: ribosomal RNA, 593 nt
Filed under: Bipolaris oryzae
Lineage: Eukaryota; Fungi; Ascomycota; Dothideomycetes; Pleosporales; Pleosporaceae
Description: eukaryotic LSU rRNA
Rfam family: 5.8S ribosomal RNA (bases 206-359)
Source: RNAcentral
UCCGUAGGGUGAACCUGCGGAGGGAUCAUUACACAACAAAAUAUGAAGGCCUGGCUUUCGCGGCCGGCUGAAGUAUUUUUUUCACCCAUGUCUUUUGCGCACUUGUUGUUUCCUGGGCGGGUUCGCCCGCCACCAGGACCAAACCAUAAACCUUUUUUUCUUAUGCAGUUUCCAUCAGCGUCAGUAAAAACAAUGUAAUUAUUACAACUUUCAACAACGGAUCUCUUGGUUCUGGCAUCGAUGAAGAACGCAGCGAAAUGCGAUACGUAGUGUGAAUUGCAGAAUUCAGUGAAUCAUAGAAUCUUUGAACGCACAUUGCGCCCUUUGGUAUUCCAAAGGGCAUGCCUGUUCGAGCGUCAUUUGUACCUUCAAGCUUUGAUUGGUGUUGGGCGUUUUUUUGUCUCCCUCUUUCUGGGAGACUCGCCUUAAAACGACUGGCAGCCGGCCUACUGGUUUCGGAGCGCAGCACAUUUUUUGCGCUUUGUAUCAGGAGAAAAGGACGGUACUCCAUCAAGACUCUACAUUUUUCACUUUUGACCUCGGAUCACGUAGGAAUACCCGCUGAACUUAAGCAUAUCAAUAAGCGGAGGAAC